UGUGAGAAUGAGACCUACAGGGAGCAAUUCCCAGACAAGCACUUUGACCUUGAAACUGUCCUCCAAGCCAAAAUACGCUCUCUUUCUGUUGUUCCUCGCAAGUCCUUCAUUGGAUUUUUCCAUCCUGAUGGGAUGGAUGAGGGAGGAUUUGACUUUUUGCAAGGUGCCAUGUCCUUUGAUAAUAUUUGGGAUGAGAUUAGUGGCACUGGAUCAGGAAAUCCUAACAAUGAUGGGCCUCAGGUCUAUAUAGUAAGCUGGAAUGAUCAUUUUUUCAUCCUCAAGGUUGAACCAGAAGCUUACUAUAUUAUUGACACAUUAGGAGAAAGGCUCUAUGAGGG
This 338-nucleotide unclassified non-coding RNA is filed under the name Hevea brasiliensis (rubber tree). The record is from RNAcentral. Lineage: Eukaryota; Viridiplantae; Streptophyta; Magnoliopsida; Malpighiales; Euphorbiaceae.